ACACACCUCCCUGCAGCCUGGCACUGGAAACUGCUGAGCCAUGCAGGGCAGCCUGGUGGCGGCUAGGACACUUCUGCAGAGGACCUGGAGUUGGGCUGCUCCCGGGGCUCCCAUCUCUUGCUGGGUCUGUUUUCAGGCAGAAGUCCUAGCAGAGUAUGCCCACGCUGGUUAGUGCUGCUGCAAAGAUGAGCCGAAGACCAUGAGAGACCUCCAGGUGGUCCUUCUGGGGAGAAGAAAUGGGUUUUGGCCCCAAAUCCUUCUGCUGCAUUUUUCCCCUAUCCCUGGGAAGCCAUGAGACCUCAAACCUGUGUUCCCAAGGAGGCGAGCUGCUGUUCCCAGGUGAUGAUAUGAUGUGCUUGGGGAAAGUAAGUGGCUGCCAGACAUGGCUGAGAGCUGUUGUCACUGCCGUCAAGUGCAUGUCUCCAAGCCAUAUCACACGGCGUCCCUCGAUGUGAGGCCACAUGGCAAGUGGGCCGUGGAUCUCCCUCUGCCCUUUGCAAGCACGUAAGACAGCAGAUUUUGCAGAUACCUUGUGGCGCAGGGGAAUUUCCUUUGGCCAGGUCUGAAGAAAUAAAGCAGCAGGCACCGAGAACAAAGCCAAGGCUUUCAAAAGACAAGGAGCCAAAAAACUUACUCAAAAUAAAAGUAGUUUUAAAAUGUC
This 661-nucleotide long non-coding RNA is filed under the name Homo sapiens (human). Its description in RNAcentral is "long intergenic non-protein coding RNA 3125". The record is from RNAcentral. Lineage: Eukaryota; Metazoa; Chordata; Mammalia; Primates; Hominidae.